GGGGAGAUUCCAGAGUGGCCAAAUGGAGCAGACUGUAACUCUGUUGUCUUACGACUUCGCAGGUUCGAAUCCUGCUCUCCCCA
Molecule: transfer RNA, 83 nt
Filed under: Chryseobacterium suipulveris
Lineage: Bacteria; Pseudomonadati; Bacteroidota; Flavobacteriia; Flavobacteriales; Weeksellaceae
Description: Chryseobacterium sp. SC2-2 tRNA-Tyr
Rfam family: tRNA
About the family: Transfer RNA (tRNA) molecules are approximately 80 nucleotides in length. Their secondary structure includes four short double-helical elements and three loops (D, anti-codon, and T loops). Further hydrogen bonds mediate the characteristic L-shaped molecular structure. tRNAs have two regions of fundamental functional importance: the anti-codon, which is responsible for specific mRNA codon recognition, and the 3' end, to which the tRNAs corresponding amino acid is attached (by aminoacyl-tRNA synthetases). tRNAs cope with the degeneracy of the genetic code in two manners: having more than one tRNA (with a specific anti-codon) for a particular amino acid; and 'wobble' base-pairing, i.e. permitting non-standard base-pairing at the 3rd anti-codon position.
Source: RNAcentral